UACGUAGGGUGCGAGCGUUGUCCGGAAUUACUGGGCGUAAAGAGCUCGUAGGUGGUUUUGUCGCGUUGUUCGUGAAAUCUCACGGCUUAACUGUGAGCGUGCGGGCGAUACGGGCAGACUAGAGUACUGCAGGGGAGACUGGAAUUCCUGGUGUAGCGGUGGAAUGCGCAGAUAUCAGGAGGAACACCGGUGGCGAAGGCGGGUCUCUGGGCAGUAACCGACGCUGAGGAGCGAAAGCGUGGGGGAGCGAACAGG
Molecule: ribosomal RNA, 255 nt
Filed under: uncultured bacterium
Lineage: Bacteria
Description: partial 16S ribosomal RNA
Rfam family: Bacterial small subunit ribosomal RNA
Source: RNAcentral